Molecule: long non-coding RNA, 4436 nt
Organism: Gallus gallus (chicken)
Lineage: Eukaryota; Metazoa; Chordata; Aves; Galliformes; Phasianidae
Exons: 4
Source: RefSeq, a predicted model, not a curated record
CCCCAGUGUGUAAGCGCUGAACUAGAAGUCGACUUACAGGUUGCACACUGGGUGUAGUGUUCUAACAGCAAACACUCCAAAGAAGAACCAGGAAGAUCAAUGCUGCCACAGUGAUUAACAGUAGGGAUUAUUGCUUGUCAGGCUGUUUAUUUUUCCCAGUCCCUCAGAUAAUCAGGAUGGAGCAUCAACUUUUCUUAUCAUGCUCUAAAAAAUCUGUAACUGAAGGGCCUGCUUUACAAACACAAGACACUGUAAGUUCAGUGCAAAGGUGAGAGAAACCGUGGUUCCCAAAUGCAGCCUUACUGGAUUUCCUUAAGGCCUGCACAGAAGCCACAGACAGGAACCCAAACUGAACCUUGGCUCCUAUUCCAAGGAUCCAUGCAAAUUCACAAAGCAGUGUGGUAGUGCUAAACAUCACAGCGCUGAAGCCUUGGUAUUCUUGAAUGCACCUGGAAACAGCUUGCUUUUUUAAUGUCGUCAGGGCACCUGCAGAUUGACUGAGCAUUCAAGAACUGAGGUAUCCAGGGAGUUAUCCUCUAAUUUCUAGCAUGUAAAACAGAGCUCUUGAUUACACUCCUCAGAAUACAUUUUGCAAUAAUUAGAAAUGUGCUUGAGAGGCGGGGAAGAAAACAAAGGCAUUUUCGCUCUAGCAACAGCACGUGCUACAAACUGGUUUCUCCUGGACUGUAUCCACCUGGAGGUCCCAUGUGGGAAAUGUUUCCAUUACAUUCGGUUCCACCACACAUUUAGCAUCAAGCGUAUGCUUAAAUCUCACUGGGAUCCAGCCGAUCUCUUGGGCAGAAUUCCUAUCAACUUCAAUGUGACUCAAAUUUGGCUCUGUAAGAUCAGUGAGAGCUUAAAAAAAAUUUAGCUCAUAUAUAUAAAGAAACGUUUAAAAUUUGAGUAGCUUUUAGAGCUUUGGUGCAAAGCUACAACCAAUAAGAGAGUAGAAAGUCCAGAUGUUUGCAGAAUUCCAUUUGAAUACUGAGCCACAAACACCGCAGAGCUCAGCCAUUUAUUCCUAUUUCAACCCCUAAAUUCCUUCUGUAUCAGCUUAUGAUUUAAUAAUAAAACCAUACAUAGUAGUAAAUAAAAGAUUAGGAAGGUUGAAGGCUGUUGGAAUUGAUUUCACACUAUUUUGUAUUUUAAAAAUAUUCUUGCAGAGAUUUAUUCUCUUCUCACCGUGUGGAGGAUUUGCAUGGAUAACCCAUUGGAGUUAAUGGCUGUGCUGAGAACAAAUCUUCUCUCUCCUACAUGUCCCUGCUCCUGCUAACCCAUCAAGAUGAACACCCGUUUCAGGCUACUCUGUACAACGCAUGGAAACAUUGUCAGAGCCUGCCCUUGUACUCACUUCUAACAGAAAGCCAAUUCAAGCAAUGCACAGAAAUCCCAAGACUUGAAGUAAUUGGAGAAACCAAAUGAAGACCCAAACUUACCAUCCGAUUCGGAGGCUGCUCUGAAAAUCAAGUAGCUGCUGGGAAGAGGCUGAGUGAUGGAACCAACGUUUUCUCCCUUUGGGCCCUGGAAAUGCAUAAACACAAAAAAAGGAGCUAUUCAGAGGUGUUUGAAGAUUAAAGUUUGCCAUGAUAGAAGGCAGGACCAGUCGAGAAGACUAGAUGGCCCUGAAUGAGGAGAAAAACAGUGGUCAAAAAUAGCAUCCUGCAAUGUGAAUCCACCUGUACUUUGCCACAUAUAAAGUUUCAGGACUUCAGUGAGAAGGUGUCACUAACUGAGUCUUUGUACAAGGAGAAAUUACAGUUGUCAUCGGGUCCAAUAUGUUUCACUCUUUGCUGUGGAAAUAUAAAAUCCAACUGUCAAUAAAACAAGCUGUAUCUGCUUGUUCUCCCUUCUGUAUCAAAACACACCUAUGGAAAGAGGUCAGCAGAUCCUUUCAGAGAGGAAGAAAGAAAGAAACAUCAUCACUUCCUUUUGUACUAUGCAGUUUUUGGGACCUUGUUCUACUUAAAGACGUGCAACAGACAGAUGGAAAAAAAAUUCCCCAAUGUCUUAGUUCAAGUUUUACAGCAACAUCAACUCAAAACUGGUCAGUCUUCCUACACUCAGUGCUCGUGCGUAACUCUCAGACAGAGCAACUAUUUCCCAUUAUAUUUUUCCAGAUCGUCUCGGAACAAUCUGUACGAAGUACCUUCAACCAGUCCGCUGUGAUCACUACGCUGGGAUCCUUCAGGGCACUGAAGAGUUGUUUGGUAGCUCUUUUCUUCUCCUGUCUGUAAUUUUUUUUUUGGACCUGGUUCAGAACAGAAAAAAAAUACAGUGGCUGUAAGCACGACCUCUAUGGAGGAGGAAAGAACAUAACGCAUUAAGGGCAGCUAAGUAUAGCAUAGCUACAACCUGACCCAGCACAGGUUCCCCAGAAAUGAGCACAGAGAGGAGCAAAACAUAAUGAAAGAACAGAUUCUUUCUUUGUUUAUGAAGUUCCACUAAAUGCAAACUAAUUUUUCUACUUUUGGGAGAAUGGAACAAGGUUGAAUGCCCAGUUCUCCUCACCCCUCAAAUUAAAGAGAUUUAAUCUAAUUUCACCCAAAUCAAAUUAUUUAUACUUUUGGUUUGGGAGACAAACAAAUGUUCAGGAGAUAAUAUGCUUAGUUUGCCUAGGCAUGCCCCUCCUAACAAGACCAGUGAAGCAUCACAGUCCUCUGGAUGUGCCUUACGGCUCUGGAGCAUAAGAACAGAGCAAAAUAAUUACACUGAUUUAUUCUGUUUGCAAUAUAUAACCUAAUCCUGUAUAAAGCUCAUUAAUGCCCGUGGCACAGAAUGACUCCUAAAAGAGUCAGAGGCUUUUUUGGAACUUGGGAAAUGACUCAGAAGAGUUCCCAGUGGUUUGUUUGAAAGGUACCACUUUUGUAAAAGAAAGUCAGCUGAUGCUGACUUGGCUGCUUGGCACAUACCUUCAGUGUUUCCUUCUUAGUGAAUUUGGCUGUGGGAGACACACACUCUUUGUCAGAUCCAUUGCAAAACUUAUAUUCGAUCUGAAAAAAAAAAAAAAAAAAGAGGAAAAGAGAAAAUAGGAACAAAAUAACAUGAAGAUGGUCAUGCAGAGCUCUAGUGAAGGGUCAUUUGUAACUUCCAAGAAUUCAUGAGGGAGCUGACUUCAGACUUCGGCAGCAGAACUACAGGUGGGCUCAGAAACAGCAUAUAUGCAGUGUGCUCCAAAUCUCCUCUUUAUAUUCAUACUUAGUUGGGAAAUUUCCCAUACUCUUCAUAUUUCUCCCAAUUAGGCAUUAAUCUUGGUAAGAACAAACCAAAACACCUAUUCUCAAUGAUUAACGUCUUUUCCAUUCUUAAAACAUUUUAAUUACUGGGAUGAAAAUGACACAAAAUCUAGUAGAACUCUCUCAGUACUAGACUUGGUAUUGGUAAUCACAUUGGCAUAGCCAAAACAUACAGGAACAUGAGUAGGCAAGAAAUGACCUAAUCACAUUACAGAUCAUACAGACAAUCAUCAUCAUCCGGCCUUAAGAAGUCAGGCCCAAAAUAUAUAGUCACUUCAAAUCAUGUUUGAUACUGUCAGUGCUGUUUAAAUUCAUUUUCAGAGGCUGAAGACUGAUCUCCUGUUUGUACUGAUGGGCUAAAAAAUGCUUUACCUUGUUAGACAGGGUCACAGUUUUACCGUUCCUGAGAUAAAGUACACUUAGAAAGUGUACUUCAGAUAGGAACUGUCAGCAAAUUGACUAAACCUGGGGAGUGCUAUAGUGGCACGAGAAUUACAGUAUGGUCUAGUCUCUGCUACUUCCUAAGUGACCUUAGGAAAGUUACUAUCUGUCUCUGUACUUCUUUUCCUUCCAACCUUUCAUGGUUCUGAUGUAUUUAGACUGUGAUCUUUUGGGGUCAGACACUGUCUCUCCUAUUAUACAAUGGUUUUACAAAAAAAAUUCAGCUCUUAGUCAACUUGAUUCGGUGAGCUUGACAGAAAAAAUGAUAAAAUACAUAAAAUACAGUUCUCAUCUACAAAUUUACACAUGGCUUAAAUAAAAACACACAGACAGAUGACCAGAUCACAGCAAACUGACCAUCAACUGUGCUUUGGAGACUGCGGCAGAAGCACAAAAGGGAGAUGAGGAUGCAUCCUCAAAUGAAUAUCUCUAGAGCAAAAUUCUUUCUGGCUGAUGCAGGGCUGGAAAUUAGGGGUACAAACUGCAGUUUGCAACAGAGCCAGGGUCACUGUAGAACCUAGCACUUGUUCUUACAUACACACAGCAGUCUUUCACUGAAAGCAAAACUACCUGUGACACUUCAGAAUACAUAAAGAAAUGAAAACCCUGUGAAAGCACAGAGAUCAGUGAAACCUCCACUUUGACCGCCCAAUCCAAGUCCACUUUGCACUGAGCCCACUCAGGGAAAACACCAGCUCUGGGUUCCUGCAAAAUACCCGAUAUUUGUCAUUUUUGUCUUAGUAGAAGCCAGUCUUCUCUACC